This 493-nucleotide ribosomal RNA is filed under the name uncultured bacterium. Its description in RNAcentral is "partial 16S ribosomal RNA". It matches the Rfam family "Bacterial small subunit ribosomal RNA", at positions 30 to 507 of the family's 1533-position model. The record is from RNAcentral.
AUUGAACGCUGGCGGCAUGCUUUACACAUGCAAGUCGAACGGCAACGAGGAGAAGCUUGCUUCUCUGUCGGCGAGUGGCGAACGGGUGAGUAUAGCAUCGGAACGUGCCAAGUAGUGGGGGAUAACCAAACGAAAGUUUGGCUAAUACCGCGUAAGCUCCAAGGAGGAAAGUAGGGGACCUAAAUAAGGCCUUACGCUAUUUGAUCGGCCGAUGUCGGAUUAGCUAGUUGGUGGGGUAAUGGCUCACCAAGGCAAUGAUCCGUAGCGGGUCUGGGAGGACGAUCCGCCACACUGGGACUGAGACACGGCCCAGACUCCUACGGGAGGCAGCAGUGGGGAAUUUUGGACAAUGGGGGAAAACCUGAUCCAGCCAUGCCGCGUGUAUGAAGAAGGCCUUAGGGUUGUAAAGUACUUUUGUUAGGGAAGAAAAGCUAGUUUUUAAUAAAAAUUAGUGAUGACGGUACCUAAAGAAUAAGCACCGGAUAACUACGUG